Molecule: ribosomal RNA, 292 nt
Filed under: uncultured bacterium
Lineage: Bacteria
Description: partial 16S ribosomal RNA
Rfam family: Bacterial small subunit ribosomal RNA
Source: RNAcentral
GUGCCAGCAGCCGCGGUAAUACAGAGGUCCCAAGCGUUGUUCGGAUUCACUGGGCGUAAAGGGUGCGUAGGUGGCUUAGCAAGUCUGAUGUGAAAUCUCCGGGCCCAACCCGGAAAUGGCAUUAGAAACUGCUGGGCUAGAGGCUUGGAGGGGGAACUGGAAUGCUCGGUGUAGCAGUGAAAUGCGUAGAGAUCGAGCGGAACACCAGUGGCGAAGGCGAGUUCCUGGACAAGUCCUGACACUGAGGCACGAAAGCUAGGGGAGCAAACAGGAUUAGAAACCCCUGUAGUCC